Molecule: ribosomal RNA, 237 nt
Filed under: Pelobates cultripes (western spadefoot toad)
Lineage: Eukaryota; Metazoa; Chordata; Amphibia; Anura; Pelobatidae
Description: SSU_rRNA_microsporidia
Rfam family: Eukaryotic small subunit ribosomal RNA
Source: RNAcentral
CCCAGCUCGUCAUGCUAGAGCACUUUUUCUAUGUGCUCCCCAACAAGAAGGCAACCGCGCAUUCGUAUGUCAAUCCAUAUCAACUUUCGAUGCCAUUAACUGCGCCUACCAUGGUGACCACGGGCAACGGGAAAUCAGGGUUCCAUUCCAUACAGGGACCCUGACAAAUGGCUACCACGUGCAAGGAAGGCAGCAGGCGCGCAAAUGACCCGCUCCCGAUGCGGGAAGGUAGUGACG